GGAGAGGUGGCCGAGUGGUUUAAGGCGCCGCUCUCGAAAAGCGGUGUGCCGCAAGGCACCGUGGGUUCAAAUCCCACCCUCUCCGCCA
Molecule: transfer RNA, 88 nt
Filed under: Chloroflexota bacterium
Lineage: Bacteria; Bacillati; Chloroflexota
Also listed under: 1 other name
Description: tRNA-Ser
Rfam family: tRNA
About the family: Transfer RNA (tRNA) molecules are approximately 80 nucleotides in length. Their secondary structure includes four short double-helical elements and three loops (D, anti-codon, and T loops). Further hydrogen bonds mediate the characteristic L-shaped molecular structure. tRNAs have two regions of fundamental functional importance: the anti-codon, which is responsible for specific mRNA codon recognition, and the 3' end, to which the tRNAs corresponding amino acid is attached (by aminoacyl-tRNA synthetases). tRNAs cope with the degeneracy of the genetic code in two manners: having more than one tRNA (with a specific anti-codon) for a particular amino acid; and 'wobble' base-pairing, i.e. permitting non-standard base-pairing at the 3rd anti-codon position.
Source: RNAcentral